Molecule: ribosomal RNA, 1388 nt
Filed under: Dematiopleospora salsolae
Lineage: Eukaryota; Fungi; Ascomycota; Dothideomycetes; Pleosporales; Phaeosphaeriaceae
Description: partial 18S ribosomal RNA
Rfam family: Eukaryotic small subunit ribosomal RNA
Source: RNAcentral
AUACUGUGAAACUGCGAAUGGCUCAUUAAAUCAGUUAUCGUUUAUUUGAUAGUACCUUACUACUUGGAUAACCGUGGUAAUUCUAGAGCUAAUACAUGCUGAAAACCCCAACUUCGGGAGGGGUGUAUUUAUUAGAUAAAAAACCAACGCCCUUUCGGGGCUUCUUGGUGAUUCAUGAUAACUUAACGGAUCGCAUGGCCUUGCGCCGGCGACGGUUCAUUCAAAUUUCUGCCCUAUCAACUUUCGAUGGUAAGGUAUUGGCUUACCAUGGUUUCAACGGGUAACGGGGAAUUAGGGUUCGAUUCCGGAGAGGGAGCCUGAGAAACGGCUACCACAUCCAAGGAAGGCAGCAGGCGCGCAAAUUAUCCAAUCCCGACACGGGGAGAUAGUGACAAUAAAUACUGAUACAGGGCUCUUUUGGGUCUUGUAAUUGGAAUGAGUACAAUUUAAACCUCUUAACGAGGAACAAUUGGAGGGCAAGUCUGGUGGACAUUCAGCUCCCAAUAUGCUGACGCCAGCAAAAGUCGGGCAUCUUUUGAUGUUAUACCGGCUAGUCGAGUACCUGCUGAUUUGAUGGGGAGGUACCGGCGAGAUAACUGGGUCGGGGAAGGCUAAGGCAUCUGAAUAAGGUGCUAUGCUAAUCCCGAGCGGAGUUGCCAUAGAGCGAUUUAUGGACAGCCCGUGUAGAGCACGCAAAGGUAUCGGUCAACUCUAGUAGUUGGCUUAAGGGACGUGCCAUUCCCACUCGAAAGGGUGGCUGUCAGUAAUAGCGCCCAUCACGCGAAGGCUGACGGAUUUGGAUUUAAUUGGGCAGCCAAUUUUGUUCGAAUUGAUAAAUAAAGGCCAGCAGCCGCGGUAAUUCCAGCUCCAAUAGCGUAUAUUAAAGUUGUUGCAGUUAAAAAGCUCGUAGUUGAAACUUGGGUCUGGCUGGCAGGUCCGCCUCACCGCGUGUACUUGUCCGGCCGGGCCUUCCUUCUGGAGAACCUCAUGCCCUUCACUGGGCGUGUUGGGGACCAGAACUUUUACUUUGAAAAAAUUAGAGUGUUCAAAGCAGGCCUUUGCUCGAAUACGUUAGCAUGGAAUAAUAAAAUAGGACGUGCGGUCCUAUUUUGUUGGUUUCUAGGACCGCCGUAAUGAUUAAUAGGGACAGUCGGGGGCAUCAGUAUUCAAUUGUCAGAGGUGAAAUUCUUGGAUUUAUUGAAGACUAACUACUGCGAAAGCAUUUGCCAAGGAUGUUUUCAUUAAUCAGUGAACGAAAGUUAGGGGAUCGAAGACGAUCAGAUACCGUCGUAGUCUUAACCGUAAACUAUGCCGACUAGGGAUCGGGCGAUGUUCUUUUUCUGACUCGCUCGGCACCUUACGAGAAAUCAAAGUUUUUGGGUCUGGGG